This 497-nucleotide ribosomal RNA is filed under the name uncultured bacterium. Its description in RNAcentral is "partial 16S ribosomal RNA". It matches the Rfam family "Bacterial small subunit ribosomal RNA", at positions 28 to 507 of the family's 1533-position model. The record is from RNAcentral.
GAUGAACGCUGGCGGUGUGCCUAAUACAUGCAAGUCGAGCGAACAGACGAGGAGCUUGUUCCUCUGACGUUAGCGGCGGACGGGUGAGUUACACGUGGAUAACCUACCUAUAAUACUGGGAUAAUUUCGGGAAACCGGAGCUCAUACUGGAUAAUAUAUUUAACCGCAUUGUUCAAUAGUGAAAGACGGUUUUGCUGUUACUUAUAGAUGGAUUCGCGCCGCAUUAGCUACUUGGUAAGGUAACGGCUUAUCAAGGCAACGAUGCGUAGCCGACCUGAGAGGGUGAUCAGCCACACUAGAACUGAGACACGGUCCAAACUCCUACGGGAGGCAGCAGUAGGGAAUCUUCCGCAAUGGGCGAAAGCCUGACGGAGCAACGCCGCGUGAGGGAUGAAGGUCUUCGGAUCGUAAAACUCUGUUAUUGGGGAAGAACAAAUGUGUAAGUAACUAUGCACGUCUUGACGGUACCUAAUCAGAAAGCCACGGCUAACUACGUG